RNAcentral lists this ribosomal RNA (448 nucleotides) under uncultured Pelagibacterales bacterium. RNAcentral's name for it is "bacterial SSU rRNA". It matches the Rfam family "Bacterial small subunit ribosomal RNA", at positions 1071 to 1533 of the family's 1533-position model. Lineage: Bacteria; Pseudomonadati; Pseudomonadota; Alphaproteobacteria; Candidatus Pelagibacterales. The record is from RNAcentral.
GAGAUGUGGGUUAGUCCGCACGAGCGCACCCACUUUUAUUUGCCAUCAUUAAGUUGGGCACUCUGCAAAGAACUGCCAGUGAUAAGCUGGAGGAAGGUGGGGAUGACGUCAAGUCCUCAUGGCCCUUACGUGUUGGGCUACACACGUGCUACAAUGGUAUCUACAACAGGAAGCAAGGCUGCGAAGUUGAGCAAAUCCCUAAAAGAUACCUCAGUUCGGAUUGCACUCUGCAACUCGAGUGCAUGAAGCUGGAAUUACUAGUAAUCGUGGAUCAGCGUGCCACGGUGAAUGCGUUCCCGGGUCUUGUACACACCGCCCGUCACACCAUGGGAGUUGGUUCUACCUUAAGGCAAGGUUUCAAACCCUUGACCACGGUAUAGUCAGCGACUGGGGUGAAGUCGUAACAAGGUAGCCGUAGGGGAACCUGCGGCUGGAUUACCUCCUUUCU